RNAcentral lists this transfer RNA (75 nucleotides) under Salmonella enterica subsp. enterica serovar Enteritidis. RNAcentral describes it as "tRNA-Ile". It matches the Rfam family "tRNA". Rfam says of the family: Transfer RNA (tRNA) molecules are approximately 80 nucleotides in length. Their secondary structure includes four short double-helical elements and three loops (D, anti-codon, and T loops). Further hydrogen bonds mediate the characteristic L-shaped molecular structure. tRNAs have two regions of fundamental functional importance: the anti-codon, which is responsible for specific mRNA codon recognition, and the 3' end, to which the tRNAs corresponding amino acid is attached (by aminoacyl-tRNA synthetases). tRNAs cope with the degeneracy of the genetic code in two manners: having more than one tRNA (with a specific anti-codon) for a particular amino acid; and 'wobble' base-pairing, i.e. permitting non-standard base-pairing at the 3rd anti-codon position. The record is from RNAcentral. Lineage: Bacteria; Pseudomonadati; Pseudomonadota; Gammaproteobacteria; Enterobacterales; Enterobacteriaceae.
UGGGGAGUAGCUCAGCGGUAGAGCAGGCUCUUGAUAAGGGUCAGGUCGCAAGUUCGAAUCUCGCCUCUCCAACCA